Molecule: long non-coding RNA, 320 nt
Filed under: Rattus norvegicus (Norway rat)
Lineage: Eukaryota; Metazoa; Chordata; Mammalia; Rodentia; Muridae
Description: long non-coding RNA NONRATT029512
Source: RNAcentral
GCUGCUGUUAAGCAAAGGUCAAAUCUCUUUAUUGCCUCCCUCCCACCCCAGUUCCCUGUCCCCCAACAGUACUGCUAGGAACCUUCCUCAGAUUCCAAGCCCAGGGGCUCCCUGCGAGUACCAGACCGGUAUGCUCCCUGGCCCCGAGGUAGAUGGGGAUAGGAAGAACCAGCUAGGGAGGAGGGGGUGAGAGAGUAAAGCAGUAGAGGAAUGCACAUUGGGCUUGUUUCUCUGGGCUGGGGGAGGAAGGCUUAAAGGAAUAGUAGAUAAACUUUACCUCUGAGGCAAGGCUCAGAGUACCCUAAGUCCAGAUUCUGUGU